UCAGGACGAACGCUGGCGGCGUGCUUAACACAUGCAAGUCGAGCGAUGAAGCUUCUUCGGAAGUGGAUUAGCGGCGGACGGGUGAGUAACACGUGGGUAACCUGCCUCAUAGAGGGGGAAUAGCCUUUCGAAAGGAAGAUUAAUACCGCAUAAGAUUGUAGUACCGCAUGGCACAGCAAUUAAAGGAGUAAUCCGCUAUGAGAUGGACCCGCGUCGCAUUAGCUAGUUGUGGGGUAACGGCUCACCAAGGCGACGAUGCGUAGCCGACCAGAGAGGGUGAUCGGCCACAUUGGGACUGAGACACGGCCCAGACUCCUACGGGAGGCAGCAGUGGGGAAUAUUGCACAAUGGGGGAAACCCUGAUGCAGCAACGCCGCGUGAGUGAUGACGGUCUUCGGAUUGUAAAGCUCUGUCUUCAGGGACGAUAAUGACGGUACCUGAGGAGGAAGCCACGGCUAACUACGUGCCAGCCGCCGC
This 477-nucleotide ribosomal RNA is filed under the name uncultured bacterium. Its description in RNAcentral is "bacterial SSU rRNA". It matches the Rfam family "Bacterial small subunit ribosomal RNA", at positions 24 to 518 of the family's 1533-position model. The record is from RNAcentral.